This 208-nucleotide ribosomal RNA is filed under the name uncultured bacterium. Its description in RNAcentral is "partial 16S ribosomal RNA". It matches the Rfam family "Bacterial small subunit ribosomal RNA", at positions 568 to 774 of the family's 1533-position model. The record is from RNAcentral.
CGUGUAGGCGGAUAUUUAAGUCAGAUGUGAAAACCCCCGGGCUCAACUUGGGGACUGCAUUUGAUACUGGAUAUCUUGAGGACAGGAGAGGAAAGCGGAAUUCCUAGUGUAGCGGUGAAAUGCGUAGAUAUUAGGAGGAACACCAGUGGCGAAGGCGGCUUUCUGGACUGUAACUGACGCUGAGGCGCGAAAGCGUGGGGAGCGAACG